Molecule: long non-coding RNA, 560 nt
Filed under: Manihot esculenta (cassava)
Lineage: Eukaryota; Viridiplantae; Streptophyta; Magnoliopsida; Malpighiales; Euphorbiaceae
Description: long non-coding RNA (MESC_LNC003014)
Source: RNAcentral
UCCUUGGAGCCGUAACUAGAAAGCCCGUGUUUUCAUGGUACAUACGGACAAGCUCGGAUAUUAUAUCCUGUCCUUAUGUAUCGUGAAUCACAUCUGGGCAAUCAGGGUGUCGACCUAUUAUAGGGGAACAGUGAGAAAUACUUAUGGGAAUCAACUUGUUCAAUUCCCCUAUAAUAGCGAGACAGAUCUUGGCCUUUUCUGCCAAACUCACAUUCUGAGCUGCGAGAGUUCCUCCGAGCUGAAGAUUAGAGUAGUGAGGUAGGUGAUGACGAUGUAAUCGUAGAUGGUGAAGUAUCCGGACAUGUAAAUCCUUUAAGGAUAGUCUUCCAUUCUGUAGGCCCGGACAUGUAAAUCCUUUAAGGAUAGUCUUCCAUUCUGUAGACCCGGACAUGUAAAUCCUUUAAGGAUAGUCUUCCAUUCUGUAAUGUACUUUUCUUUUAAUGAAAUUCUUGUUUUUCGUUCAUACUUGAGCUUGUUCUUUUCUUUGUCGUGGAUGGAGUACUGAUACUGCUUUCUUCAUAGCCUUAGCCAACUAAAUUUUGUUUUUUCCGAGCUGAACU